CUAUUACACUUAUAAUCAACCUUCUUCAAUAUAGGAGGUGACAUCAAUAAUUUCUUUAAUCUUUGCAUUGCCUGAAUAUGCCUUUCUUCCCAUUUAAAUCGGUAACCCUUGCGUAACAGUUCAUAUAAUGGAUCCGCUAUGUGAGCAAAAUGAAGGAUCCAGAUUCGAUAAAAUACACAUGCAUCCAAAAACCUGCGAACCUCUGUUAAAGAAUCACAAUCCUCUUUCAUCCUUCCAAUUGCAUCAACUUUAAUCGAAUCUGGUUUCCUUCCGUAAGACCCACAUAAAUGUCCAACAAUCACAACCUCUCGUACUCCAAAUACGGACUUCAUAUCCGAUAAUGUAAGAUGAACUUCUCCAAGCCGAGUUAAAAUCUUUUUACAAUCUUGUAUAUGAUCAACAACAUAUUUGCGACACCCCCUCGUAUCUAAAGUUUCAUCCUUGUCUCCUUUUCUGCACCCUUUUAUAUGAACAUCAUCCAGAAAAGGCAUAGUCUUUUCCGGAAUAAAAUCUCUCAAUACCUUAUUCAUCCCAUUUAUCAUAUGCGCAACUGAGUUGGUCACGCUUUGAGGAAGAGUGUACAUUCUUACCAAUCCAAGUGGUGUCCUCAUUGUUGUCAUAUCUCUACUUCCUUCGGUAAGUUGAAAUUGAUCAUAACCUGAAUACAAGUCACCCAUUGAAUAGAUCGCCCUUCUAGCAAACGCCUCAGCAAAUUCAUCCAUAAUAGGCCCAAUUCCUGCAUUUCAGACAGUUACUGCAUUCACCGGUUGCAUAUCUUGAAUAAACUGUAGUGACCCAUUCUUCUUAGGUACCGUAAACCAUCGACUAGAAUACGGCGCAAAUGAAGGUUUCAAUAUUUUCAUCUUUAUCUUUUCUUUUAAUAGCUCAAUCAAUUUAGAUAAAUGUACCCUCGGUACUGGAAUCGGUCUUAGAUUCCAAGGUACAUGCGGUACAGUGAAGAUAACCAUAGGUGUUACAAUAAUUAGAUCCACACACCCAAUUUCAUAAAAUUCGAAGGCAAACGAUCUACCUUGUUUAGCCAACAUCUUUUUGAACCAAGUAAUUUUCUUUGGCAAUAAAGUACCAUCAGAACCAAUCUUCAAUUCUUCAAAAGUCUCUUUAGUAAACUGAUGUCCAAUACUCAUUGGAUCUCUUAAACUUGCUUCUUUUGAUGCUUCUCCCAUUUGUUCUUUCGAAUCUUCUGGUAAUGGUCCGGCAACAGACUUUACCUUCUUAUCUGCCGUUUUAUAUCUCGUCUCUACUGUGACUUCUGGUGCUUGAAAAGAUUCAAGCAUGGUAUAAACCUCUCUUGAAUGAAUCUCAACAAUCUUAUCAUUAUCCCCUAAUCCAAUAGAUGUAAUCAAUUCUAAUGAAUCUUCCAAUCCAUUUUCUUCAUAAACACCUAAAAUCCUCUCAUCAUCUUGCAAUGUACCUAACUUGCAUAAUUGUCCUUCAAUAUCAUAUAAUCUUUUUCUUUCUUUUCUUUUAAAAUCAUCAACUUUCUUAUACAUAAUAUUUCCAUUCUCCAAUAUACCAAUAAAACUCGCAUCAAAGGCACCUUCAUUUCGUGAGAGUAUCUCCUCUUUUAUACCUCCAUAAUCUCGCUUUACAGUGGUACUUCCCCAAAAUCCUUAAAUCCUUCAACAAUCUUUGGCAAUGGUUUCUCCUUCAACCUAUCUCGAUUCCGUUCAUGGUUAGGAGGUACUGUUAGAAAUUGUACAGCUUUCCUUUCAUCUUCGCUCCGUACCCUUGCAUUAGCAGAACCAUCGUCAAGUACUUUUGUUUCCAUCCGUGUUGUCGUAAUAUAAGGUUGUCCUAAAAUCAAUGGAUAAGACGUUGUAUCUUGAACAAAGAAAUGUUGCUCUAUCGCAACAUCCCCAAUCCGAAUUUUGAUAUCUGGACAAGCUCCAUAUAAUUUGCCUUGUGUGUUAUUAGCCGCUCGAAUUGCCCAUCCAUGUUCCAUAUCAAUUGGCCAUUUUUACUUCUUAUAAAGAUCUUUAGACAUGAGAUUUAUUUCAGAACCAUGGUCGACUAAAGCAACUAUUGGUUCUUCUAUAUCUCCUACUUUCACCAAUACCUCAGUAGUUGCCCUUGCCCAAGGUUUCCGAGUAUAAUGGCUCAAAGUUUCCAUUUCCUUAUCACUAGAAUCUUUGAAACGUACUCGUUGAUUAUACCCAUUCUUUUCAUUUGUUGGUUGCUUGUAACCAAUAUCAACCUCUUCUUCAUCUCUAUAUAUUCUUCCAUCAAUAGCAUGACUCAUUCCAGUUUCGCCCAUUAAUUGCUUCUUUCGCUUAAUGCUGCCAAUGAUAACAUCAUGAAACUCCUUCUUUGCAAUUUUCAAGACUUCUUUCAAUGUGAAUUCCACCUUAGCGUUUAAUAUACGUUCUUCCAACACCCCUUUCAAAUUUGUUGCCGCUUCAAUGUCAAAAAGUAACUUAUAAGCAAUUGAUUUGUCCUUAUCUUUUAUUUUCCUUGUUUUUUCUUCCAAUAAUGCUGAAGUAUCCUUUACAGGCAAUUCUUGUGAAGCUGCCUCUCGAGCCUUCUCUCCUCGAGUUUGCCUCUUAAAAGAAUUUCCUUCUCUAGUAUCAUCAAAAUUUUCUCAUCUCUUUUCUUCCAUCAAAGCUUCAUGUUGGCACUUAGCAAUAUAUGGAUGAAUUGAAAGAGACUCAACAGGAUCCUCCCAACCUAUUCUACCUCGUAUUGUAGUUGCAGUCCUCAAUAAACGCUUCUCGAGGUAAUUUCCCUUCUUGCAUUGUAGAAACGACAGAAGCCCAAAACUCACUAGUUUUCAUUGUCGUAUUACGUGCUUUCUUGCUCGAGAACGCGCCGAGCGUCUGGCUGUAGAAGGUAGUAUGGAGAUUUGCCGAUAGUCAAGCAGUCUAUCAGUUUUUGACUGCUGGAAUAUAAACGACUACAACAAUGUACCGUAAAUCUAUACCGAUGCUCUUCGACUGCUUGUCGAAGUCUUUUUUUUUUUUUUUUUUUUUGCCCCAGCCGAUAGGUCUCUAGACGUUACAGAGAACCCUGAAUAAUCCAAACUGUUAAUCUUCAAUACCCCUUUGUACUUACGAUCUUGUAUCCACUGACUGUCGUGUUAGAUUAACCCAAUAAAUUUCAUUCACUCCGCAUAUUCAAUCCUAUAGACACCCCUUUAAUCUUUCAAUCACAGACGUAACUCGAUUUUACAAAACAGUCAAGAGUAUUCAAAUCCACUUCAUUUAAAAAUCUCGAUUCACCAUUACAACACUGACUUCAGCAGUGAUUGCCUCAGUCUUCCCAAAACUCUACGAAGAAGAAAAAUCCAAAUUCUAUGUCUUUCCUUCCCCGACCCAAAGCAUGAAGCUCCUCUCUCUAAUUCCCUUGAUCUUCAAAAUACCUCCAAUGAAAACCGAACUGGUAACCUUGCAAAAGCUUGAAAACUCGCUCCCCCCCCGAUUCCCCUGAAAAAAAAACCCCCCCCCUCAAAACUAUAUCCCCCCUAACCUUAUCCUCUGAAUUUCUUCAAUCUUCCAUCUUAGAUCCGGAAUUGGCUCCCACCUCAAGCUUGGAUCCGAAAUUGGCUCUUGUCGUCAAGCUUUCUCCUCCGUUUUUACCUUUAAGAAAUCCAUUUACCGAAAACAACGUUCCCUGAAACGGCACAGAGAACAGGACAGCCUGAAACAGAAUCGAACCGCGUAAUCGGAACCACAUUGAGUCGCCCGACCAAUUCAGGUCCUAUAUUGGAAAAGAUGCCCGUAGUAACCUGGAUGUUCCCGUAAUUGGGUCAAAUUGGUCCUCGCGUCAGAUUGGCUAAGACCCGUAGUAAGACCUGGAUUUCCCGUAAUUAGAGCACAUUGAGUCGCCCGACCAAUUCAGGUCUCAUAUUGGAUAAGAGGACCCGGAUUGGAUUACCGAAAUUGGAUCCAAUUGGCUCCUCGAACCCGUCGUGUGAAUUGGUCCUUCUCUUCCUACUGACUCCCGUUAUUGAAAUCGAACGGAGCAUUUUAGUAUGCCCCGGCUGACUCUAACGGAGUGACUGAACCUAACCACUAAGUAUUUGUACAGGAGUUGGUCGAUGCUCCCAAUAUUCGAGGUAACUGAAUAUUAAUAAAAUUCCCCUUUCUUUUUAUUUUCACUGUAUACUCGUGUUACAACACGACAUCUACUCCCUCUGAACCUGUGCAUCCUCCGGUAUGCACCAAUUUACCCAAUUGCUGUUUGAUUCAGAAUAUAUCCCCUACGUAUUUCUCCAUAUCGUCUUCGUCACCUUCAUUAUCCAUAUCACUUUCAUCUUCUUGCUGCCGAAUCUCUGUACCUUCAUUAAGGUCUUUCAUAUUCAUCUCCGCAUGUCUUCGUUUAAAUAUUUUUACUCGCUUCCCUGUAAUUCGUAUUUUCAAUUUUGUACCAUCUAACUCCCGUAAUGAGUAAGUCGCAUUAUCAUGAACAGUUGUUACAACAUAUGGUCCAAACCAACGUUUUCAAAAUUUCCGCAAAGUACUAUGUUGAUUAUUCAGACUAUUGUCAUAAACAAGUACCCAGUCAUCUUCCUCGAUUGCUUUUGGUCUCAAUCGAUGUUGCUUAUCGAAUCGCGCCUUGUUUUGUAACCUUGCUCUUUUUAACCUUUCCAAUGCUAUCUGGACAUCUUCCGUUCUUUGCUCCAAUUGUCGAAUCCUAAUAGCCAGAAGUUCUUCUCUUGUCAAUCCAUCUUCCCAUGGUAGCAUACUCCAAGUAAGUACAUUUUCUUCAAUCGGCAUAAUUGGUUUUUGACCUCUCAUAAGUUCUAUUGGCAUAUAUCCUGUCACCGAACUAUGUGUUGUUCGAUCAGCCCAUAAUGCAAAUGACAAAAGCCGUGGCCACUCUUUAACCUUCCCAUUACAAGCUUUAAUCAAUGCUUUCACAAUUGGCGAGUGACCACGUUCGCUUUUUGCAUUCCCUUCCGGAUUAUAAGCAGUAGUCAGUGAUAGUUUAACUCCACAUCUUUCAAAGAACUAACAAGCUUCUUGUGCAUUUAAUUCUCCACGAUCUGCAGUGAUUUUUCCUACGCAUUUGUAGUGGCAAAUGACAUCUUCAAGCAAAAACCUACAAAUCCCCUCUGUAAAUUUUGUCCUCAAUGCUCUUUCUUCUACUUGAUUAGAUAAAUCUUCACGAGCUAAAACCAAAUAUCUCAUCUGCCAUAAUCCAACCGGCAUAAUAACCAAAUCAACAACCUAUUUAAAAUGAAUAGCCAGAGGAUACGGAGGAUGAAGACCAUCUCGAUGUCAGAUAUUAAAAUACGAUUGACAGAUUUCACAUGACUCUACAAAUGAGAGCACAUCUCGAUACAUAUUUUUCCACCAAUAUCGUUCCUUGAGUUUAGCAAAAGUAGCCCAGAUUCCUCUAUGCCCUGCCCAUAAACUAUCAUGAAACUCCUUUAAUAAUUUUAGUUUUUCUUCCCUUUUGCCUAUCACUCGUUGUGGCAUCCCAAUUCCUUUCUUCAGUCUCUUCCAUAAGAAUCCUUCUCGAAGUAAAAAUCCAUAUGUUUUUUUUCUUAUUUGUUUGAAUUUUUCUGUAGACCAAUUCCCCUGCUUAGACAAGGUAUUCAAAUAAUGACCAAUAUCCAAUAAUUCUCCUUCAUAAGAUUCUUCCAGAAAUAGCUUGUCUUCUCUGUUGAGAUUUGAUAUUGAAUAGAAUUUCAAUCCGACGUCAUCAAUGUCUUCAACCAUUUCGUCCUCCCUCUUGUAUCUUGCCCGAGGUAGCAUGUCUGCUACUAAAUUGUCCUUUCCAGUGAUAUGCUUAAAUUCUGGAUUUAGUGACUUAAUAUAAGCAAUCCAUCUCAACAUUGCAAUAUCUGACGUUGAACAGUUAAUAAUCAUUCCAAGCAAUGGCAAGCAAUCUGUUUCAAUUACUACUACUGCCCCAAUCAAAUAGUCUUUUUCAGCUUUCAUAGCCGAAACGACUCCCCAAAGUUCUCUUUUGACUUGCGAAUAUGCACGCUGAUGAAUACUUAAAACUUUAGCCCCAAAUCGAACUGCAAAUCUACUCCCAUUCGAAUCAUCUUGAUCCACAGCCCAUCCAACGACAAUUGGACUAGCGUCUACAGUAAGAAUCACUGGUCUAUUGCACUUAUAAUCAACCUUCCCCAAUAUUGGAGGUGACAUCAAUAAUUUCUUCAAUCUUUACAUUGCCUGAAUAUGCCUUUCUUUCCAUUCAAAUCGGUAACCUUUGCGUAACAGUUCAUAUAAUGGAUCCGCUAUGUGAACAAAAUGAGGGAUCCAGAUUCGAUAAAAUACACAUGCACCCAAAAACCUGCGAACCUCUGUUAAAGAACCACAAUCCUCUUUCAUCCUUCCAAUUGCAUCAACUUUAGUCGAAUCUGGUUUCUCCGUAAGAUCCGAUAUCNNNNNNNNNNNNNNNNNNNNNNNNNNNNNNNNNNNNNNNNNNNNNNNNNNNNNNNNNNNNNNNNNNNNNNNNNNNNNNNNNNNNNNNNNNNNNNNNNNNNNNNNNNNNNNNNNNNNNNNNNNNNNNNNNNNNNNNNNNNNNNNNNNNNNNNNNNNNNNNNNNNNNNNNNNNNNNNNNNNNNNAACAUCAUCCAGAAAAAGGCAUAGUCUUUUUCGGAAUAAAAUCUCUCAAUACCUUAUUCAUCCCAUUCAUCAUAUGCGCAACUGAGUUGGUCGCGCCUUGAGGAAGAGUGCACAUUCUAACCAAUCCAAGCGGUGUCAUCAUCGUUGUCAUAUCUCUACUUCCUUCGGCAAGUUGAAAUUGAUCAUAACCUGAAUACAAAUCACCCAUUGAAUAGAUCGCCCUUCCAGCAAACGCCUCAGCAAAUUCAUCCACAAUAGGUCCAAUUCCUGCAUUCUUGAUAGUUACAGCAUUCACCGGCUGCAUAUCUUGAAUAAACCGUAGUGACCCAUUCUUCUUAGGUACCGUAAACCAUCGAUUAGAAUACGGUGCAAAUGAAGGUUCUAAUAUUUUCAUCUUUAUCUUUUCUUUCAAUAGUUCCACCAAUUUAGGUAAAUGUGCCCUCGGUACUGGAAUCGGUCUUAGAUUCCAAGGUACAUGCGGUACAGUGAAGAUAACCAUAGGUGUUAUAAUAUUUGGAUCCACACACCCAAUUUCAUGAGAUUCGAAGGCAAACGAUCUACCUUGUUUAGCCAACAUCUUUUAGAACCAAGUAAUUUCCUCCGGCAAUAAAGAACCAUUAGAACCAAUCUUCAAUUCUUCAAAAGUCUCUUUAGUAAACUGAUGUCCAAUACUCAUUGGAUCUCUUAAACUUGCUUCUUUUGAUGCUUCUCCCAUUUGUUCUUUCGAAUCUUCUGGUAAUGGUCCGGCAACAGACUUUACCUUCUUAUCUGCCGUUUUAUAUCUCGUCUCUACUGUGACUUCUGGUGCUUGAAAAGAUUCAAGCAUGGUAUAAACCUCUCUCGAAUGAAUCUCAACAAUCUUAUCAUUAUUCCCUAACCCAAUAGAUGUAAUCAAUUCCAAUGAAUCUUCCAGCCCAUUUUCUUCAUAAACACCCAAAAUCCUCUCAUCAUCUUGCAAUGUACCUAUCUUGCGUAACUGUCCUUCAAUAUCAUAUAAUCUUUUUCUUUCUUUUCUUUUAAAAUCAUCAACUUUCUUAUACUUAAUAUUUCCAUUCUCCAAUAUACCAAUAAAACUUGCAUCAAAGGCACCUUCAUCUCGCGAGAGUACCUCCUCUUUUGUACCUCCAUAAUCUCGCUUUACAGUGGUACCUCCCCAAAAUCCUUAAAUCCUUCAACAAUCUUUGGCAAUGGUUUCUCCCUCAACCUAUCUCGAUUCCGUUUAUGGUUAGGAGGUACUGUUAGAAAUUGUACAGCUUUCCUUUCAUCUUCGCUCCGUACCCUUGCAUAAGCAGAACCAUCGUCAAGUACCUUUGUUUCCAUCCGUGUUGCCGUGAUAUAAGGUUGUUCUAAAAUCAACGGAUAAGACGUUGUAUCUUCAACGAAGAAAUGUUGCUCCGUCGCAACAUCCCCAAUCCGAAUUUUGACAUCUGGACAAGCUCUAUAUAAUUCGCCUCGUGUAUUAUUAGCUGCUCGUAUUGCCCAUCCAUGUUCCAUAUCAAUUGGCCAUUUUUGCUUCUUAUAAAGAUCUUUAGACAUGAGAUUUAUUUCAGAACCAUGGUCCACCAAGGCAACUAUUGGUUCUUCUAUAUCUCCUACCUUCACCAAUACCUCAGUAGUUGCCCUUGCCCAAUGCUUUCGAGUAUAAUGGCUCAAAGUUUCCAUUUCCUUGUCACUAGAAUCUUCGAAAUGUACUCGCUGAUUAUACCCAUUCUUUUCAUUUGUUAGUUGCUUGUAACGAAUAUCAACCUCUUCUUCAUCUCUACAUAAUCUUGCAUCAAUAGCACGACUUAUUCCAGUUUCGCUCAUUAACUGCCUCUUUCGCUUAAUGCUGUCAAUGAUAACAUCAUGAAACUCCUUCUUUGCAAUUCCCAAGACUUCUUUCAAUGUGAAUUCCACCUUAGCGUUUAAUAUACGUUCUUCCAACACCCCUUUCAAAUUUGUUGCCGCUUCAAUGUCAGAAAGUAGCUUAUAAGCAAUUGAUUUGCCCUUAUCUUUUGUCUCCGUUGGUUUUUCUCCCAAUGAUGCUGAGGUAUCCUUUACAGGCAAUUCUUGUGAAGCUGCCUCCCGAGCCUUGUCUCCUCGACUUUGCCUCUUAAAAGAAUUUCCUUCUCUAGUAUCAUCAAAAUUUCCUCGUCUUUUUUCUUCCAUCAAAGCUUCAUGUUGGCUCUUAGCAAUAUAUGCAUGAACUGAAAGAGACUCAACAGGAUCCUCCCAACCUGUUCUUCCUCGUUUUGUAGCUGCGGUUCUCAAUAACGCUUCUCGAGGUAAUUUCCCUUCUUGCAUUGUAGAAACGGCAGAAGCCCAAAACUCACUAGUUUCCGUACUUCCACCAAUUUCAUCAUCUACUCUAGCACCAUAACUUGCACUUUCUUGUACUACUGUUUCAUGCUCUUUUAGGUAAUCUUGAACCAAUGCUCUCAUUUUUUCCUUGCCAAAAUUGGUUUGAAGAAGAUCCUCCUUAUCUUUCAAUGCUAUCUUCCCAUCUUUCCAGCAAAUAAUUCCCUGUCGUAUCAUGUUAUUAAAUUCAUUGCAAUCUUUUCUAGUGUGUGAAGCAUCAUCACACCAAAUGUAUCUUUGUACAUAUCCUUAUUUUAAAAUAUUUUUCGAAUUGUUUAUAGAAGUAUUCUCUUCAAGUCUUGCCAAUUUGAUUUGAAGAUCUCCCAUUCCUCGUAUAAUUUCUUCCAUACCCAUAUCUUCUUUCUUUGACAAGGAUGUCGAAGGUUGAACUGUAGGCAUUGUCGGUGGUGUUGAACGUACUGGAGCUUUGGGUGCUUGUACUGUUUUCGGAAUAUUGCUCCUAUCCUUCCUCCUUUCUUUUUUUGUAAGCAACCCCACCGCAUCUUCAACGUUCUUCCACUUCGUUGUCAAUCCUUCAUCUUCUUCUUUGUCUUCAAGAAGGAGUUCUAAUUUCCCUUGCAAUUCUCUAUCAGCAGCUUGAAGAAAUAGAUCAACUUUGUUCGGCUCCAAUGUCAAUUUUUCUACCUUCGAUAAUUGAGAGUAAUGCCUCUCAAAUUCCCUUAGUAGCUCUGUUGCUUGCAAAUUCUUAUUGGGCCGUUCAAUCCAUCCCAGAAACAGCUUCUUAGAAACGCGAUCAGCAUCUUCCAAGAAAUAUUCGUCUUUCAAUGCAUGUGAAAAAUCCUCCCAUGAAUUCCCACAACGAUCCGUAAUCGAUGUAAUGUGGUCCCUUAUCUCCGGUAUCGUGGCAAGUCCAAAUAGUGCAACCAUUUUCUUCUUAGAAACCCGAUUUAAUUCCAUUUCACGAACAUAACAUCUUAAAUACCUUGAAAUAUUCCUCCCAUCAAAUUGAUCAAUUUUAUUGACCACUGCUUACAAUGCUUUGGUUGCCAAAGCUUCCUUUCGAUCAUUGCUUUGCUGUUGCUGCAUUGACAAUGAGAAGGCUUGAAACAAACUAGCAAUAGACGGAUCCAUGUGCAUACCUUGUCCUUUAGAAGACUCCCCAACAGAAACUUCUUCCAAAAAUCCUUCAAAAUUUUAAUUUUCGUUUUCCAUAAUAAAAAGAUAAAAUCAACCGAAAUCCAAUACCUUCUACCUCAAGCUUUCACGUCGGGUUCACCACUUAUGUCGUAUUACGUGCUUUCCUGCUCGAGAACGCGUCGGGCGUUUGGCUGUAGAAGGUAGUAUGGAGAUUUGCCGAUAGUCAAGCAGUCUAUCAGUUUUUGACUGCUGGAAUAUAAACGACUACAACAAUGUACCGUAUAUCUAUACAGAUGCUCUUCGACUGCUUGUCGAAGUCUUUUUUUUUUUUUUUUUUUUGCCCCAGCCGAUAGGUCUCUAGACGUUACAGAGAACCCCGAACAACCCAAACUGUUAAUCUUCAAUACCCCUUUGUACUUACGAUCUUGUAUCCACUGACUGUCCUGUUAGAUUAACCCAAUAAAUUUCAUUCACUCCGCAUAUUCAAUCCUAUAGACACCCCUUUAAUCCUUCAAUCACAGAUGUAACUCGAUUUUACAAAACAGUCAAGAGUAUUCAAACCCACUUCAUUUUAAAAUCUCGAUUCACCAUUAGAAUACUGACUUCAGCAGCGAUUGCCUCAGUCUUCCCAAAACUCUACGAAGAAGAAAAAUCCAAAUUCUAUGUCUUUCCUUCCCCGACCCGAAGCAUGAAGCUCCUCUCUCUAAUUCCCUUGAUCUUCAAAAAACCUCCAAUGAAAAUCGAACUGGUAACCUUGCAAAAGCUUGAAAACUCGCUCCCCCCCCGAUUCCCCGAAAAAAAUCAGCCCCCCCCUCAAAACUAUAUCCCNNNNNNNNNNNNNNNNNNNNNNNNNNNNNNNNNNNNNNNNNNNNNNNNNNNNNNNNNNNNNNNNNNNNNNNNNNNNNNNNNNNNNNNNNNNNNNNNNNNNCUUAUCCUCUGAAUUUCUUAAUCUUCCGUCUUAGAUCCCGAAUUGGCUCCCACCGUCAAGCUUGGAUCCGAAAUUGUCUCUCGCAGUCAAGGCUUAGAUCCAAAAUUGGCUCUCACCGUCAGAGCUUUUUCCUCCGUUUUUACCUUUAAGAAAUCCAUUUACCGAAAAUAAUGUUUCCUGAAAUGGUUUACAAAACAAGACAGCCUGAAACAGAAUCGAAACCUCGUACUCGGGUCCACAUUGAGACGCCCGACCAAUUCAGGACUCAUAUUGGAUAACAGUCCAGUAGUAAGAUCCAGAUUUUUCCGUAAUUGGAUCAAAUUGGUCCUUCGCGUCAGAUUGGCUGAGGCCCGUAGUAAGGCCUCGAUUUUUCCAUAAUUAGACUGCAUUGGAUUGCCCGGCCAAUUCAAGUCUCAUAUUGAGUAAGAAGACCUGGAUUGAAUUCUUAAAAUUGGUUCCAAUUGGCUCUUCGAACCAGGCUCACCCGUCGUGUGAAUUGGUCCUUUCUUUUCCUGUUGACUUCCGUUAUUGGAAUCGAACGGAGCAUUUCAGUAUGCCCCGGCUGACCGUAACGGGGUGACUGAACCUGGCCACUCAAUAUUUGCACUAAAGUAGGUCGUUGCUCCCAAUAUUCGAGGUAACUGAAUAUUAAUAAAAGUCCCUUUUCUUUAUAUUUUCACGGUAUACUCGUGUUACAACACGACAACGUAGUCCCUAGUUAGAUAGUAUAUAUAGAGACAAGAGUGAAGGCUUCUUCACUCUUAUCAUUUCCUAUCUUGCUUCUAGUUUAGUUUCAAGGGUCUCUAGUUUUAUUGUCUUUUGGAAAUAGCCAUUCCAGUUUCUAUUUCAAUAUAUAUAUUUGUUUAUAAAUAUUUUGUUACCUCUCUUUGAGUGAAGCCUCACUUGUCUGAAUUGUUUUUUCAUCGAGUUCUUAUCCUUGACAGAUUGACAAGAGUACACCUACAAUAUCAGAGCUUUAUCUAAUCUUGAUUAAGAGUGGAUUACCCCUUUUUCAUAAUAAGAUAUAAGCAUAUUAGAAGUUGCGGAUUACCUUCUUCUAAACUGAUAUUGUCCUUAUCAUUUUCUUUGUCCUCAAGUCCUCUCUUCUAUUUCUCUUGAGCGAUAUUAGACGUCCUCUCUCUUCUAAGUGUUAUCAUGGCAGAACUUCUCGAAAUGAAGAGUGCAAUGGCACAAAUGCAAGAAAAAUUGAGGGAAUUAAUGCUUGCGAUGCAUCAACUCAAUUUACCACUACAAGGAGCAACAAGAUUGACAAGUAGUGAAGAUAGAGAAAUGGUUGGAGUUGCUUCAAUACCUGCACCAAACCAUGUCCUUUCUCCUAUGGUGGAACACCCUUCAAAUGUUAGAGAACCAAGAAUUGCCGUACCCGAGAAGUUUGAUGGCACCAGAUCCAAGUUUCGAGGAUUUAUCAAUCAAGUGCAACUGGUGAUUGAACUUCAAUCCCAAAGCUAUCCAACUCUAGGAUCACAAAUUAGAUUCAUUGGUACGCUUCUUUCAAGUUCAGCACUAUCGUGGUUUUCAUCUUUUCUUGAACGACGAGAUCCAAUAUUGGAUAAUCUAGAGGCUUUUUUGGUGGAGUUUCGAUCCAUGUAUGGAGAGCAUGAUGCAAUUCAGGUUGCAACCAAUAAGAUCCAUAUUUUACGACAAGGCAAUCGAUUAGUAACGUUAUAUGCUUCACAAUUUUAACAACUUGCAACUGAUAUCAAGUGCGAUGAUGCUGCACUUAUUAGCCAAUUUGUAUACGGAUUACAAUAUGAGGUAAAAAAAUUAAUGCUCAACUUACUUGAUCCUCAAACAUUGAGUCAAGCAAUUGACUUUGCUGUGAAGUGUGACAAUCACUUUUUUGAAUUCCGAUCUGAGAACCAUACAAGUCGACCUCAACGUUACUAUAAUUCAAUGGCAAAACCAACAUCUCUUCAAUACAUACAUUCGGAAGUAGAGGAUAUGUAAAUUGAUGCAGUACGUUUCAAAUCUCUUACUGAGCAAGAAAAGACUCGUCAUCGUCAAGAAGGAUUAUGUUUAUAUUAUAGAGAAUCAAAGCACACUGAUCAACAUUGUCCAAAGAAACGAUGCAAUCACAAAAUGACGAGUAUGGCUAUGAAAAAAGAUAAUAUGUCGGAAAACGAGUUUGUCCAGCUACAAUAGGGACCAUUGUCAUAUUACGUACUUUUUUGCUCGAGAAUGCGUGAGGCGUUUGGCUGUAGAAGGUAGUAUGGAGAUUCGCCAAUAGUCAAGCAGUCUAUCAGUUAUUGACUGUUGGAAUAUAAACGACUAUAAGAAUAUACUGUAAAUCUAUACGGAUGCCCUUCAACUGCUCGCCGAAGUCUUUUUUGUCCCAGCCGGUAGGUCUCUAGACGUUACAGAGAACCCCGAACAACCCAAACUGCUAAUCUAUGAUACCGCUUUAUACUCACGAUCUUGUAUCCACUGACUGUCUCAUUAGAUUAAUCCAAUAAAUUUCAUUCCUUCAGCAUACUCAAUCCUAUAGACACCCUUUUAAUCCAUCAUCACAGACGUAACUCGAUUUCACAAAAUAGUCAAGAGUAAUCAAACCUACUUCAUUAAAAUUCCCGAUUCACCAUUACAAUACUGACUUCAGCAACGAUUGCCUCAGUUUUCCCAAAAUCCUAUAUAGAAUAAAAAACCCAAUUCUCUAUCUUUUUUCUCCACCCGAAGCAUGAAGCUAGCUCUCCCCGAUCCUUCACAAAAAAUCUUCCAUAAAAAAAAACCCCUCUCUCCCCCCCCCUCUUUUUUUAACCUUAAUUCUGAAUUUCUUCAAUCUUCCGUCUAGGAUCCAAAAUUGGCUCCAGACGUCAGACCUUAGAUCCAAAAUUGGCUCUUGCCAUCAAGGCUUAGAUCCGAAAUUGGCUCUCGUCGUUAGAGCUUUUUCCUCCAUUUUUAUCUUUAAGAGAUCUAUUUAUCAAAAACAACGUUCCCUGAAACGGCACAGAGAAUAGGACAGCCUGAAACAAAAUUGAAACCCCGUACUCGGGUCCACAUUGAGUUGCCCGACCAAUUCAGGUCUCAUAUUGGCUAAGAAUUCAGUAGUAAGAUCCAGAUGUUCCCGAAAUUGGAUCAAAUUAGUUCUUCACGUCAGAUUGGCUAAGGAUGUAGUAAGACCUGGAUUUUCUCGUAAUUAGACUACAUUGGGUUGCCCGACCAAUUCAGGUCUCAUAUUGGGUAAGAAGACCCAGAUUGGAUUCUUGAAAUUGGAUCCAAUUGGCUCUUUGAACCAAGCUCAUCCGUCAAGUGAAUUGGUCCUUUCUCUUCCUGCUGACUCCCGUUAUUAGAAUCGAACGGAGAAUUUCAUAUGGCCCCGGCUAACUGUAACGGGGUGACUCAACCUGGCCACUCAGUAUUUGCAUUGGAGUUGGUCGUUGCUCCCAAUAUUCGAGGUAACUGAAUAUUAAUAAAAGUCCCCUUUCUUGAUAUUUUCACGAUAUACUUGAGUUACAACACGACAUCCACCCCCUCUGAAUCUAUGCAUCCUCCAGUAUACACCAAUUUCUCCAAUUACUCGUUCGAUUCAGAAUAUAUCCUCUACGUCUUUGUCCACUUCGUCUUCGACACAUUCAUUAUCCAAAUCACUUUCAUCUUCUUGCUACGGAAUCUCUAUACCUUCAUUAAGGUCUUCCAUAUUCAUCUCCGCAUGUCUUCGUUUAAAUAUUUUUACUUGCUUCCCUGUAAUUGGUAUUUUCAAUUUUGUACCAUCUAACUCCCGUAAUGAGUAAGUCGCAUUAUCAUGAACAGUUGUUACUACAUAUGGUCCAAACCAACGUUUUAAAAUUUCUGCAAAGUACUAUGUUGAUUAUCCAGACUAUUAUUAUAAACAAGUACCUAGUCACCUUCUUCGAUUGCAUUAGGUCUCAAUCGAUGUUGCUUAUCGAAUCACACCUUAUUUUGUAACCUUCCUCUUUUUAACCUUCCCAAUGCUAUCUGGACAUCUUCCGUUCUUUGCUCCAAUUGUCCAAUCCUAAUAGCCAGAAGUUCUUCUCUUGUCAAUCCAUCUUCCCAUGGUAGCAUACACCAAGUAGGUACCUUUUCUUCAAUCGGCAUAAUUGGUUUUCGACCAAUCAUAAGUUCUACUGGCAUAUAUCCUAUCACCGAACUAUGUGUUGUUCGAUCAGCCCAUAAUGCAAAUGACAAAAGCCGUGGCCACUCUUUAACCUUCCCAUUACAAGCUUUAACUAAUAUUUUCACAAUCGGUGGGUGACCGCAUUCGCUUUUUGCAUUCCCUUCCGGAUUAUAAGCAGUAGUCAGUGAUAGUUUAACUCCACAUCUUUCAAAGAACUUACAAGCUUCUUGUGCAUUUAAUUCUCCACGAUCUGCAGUGAUUUUUCCUACGCAUCUGUAGCGGCAAAUGACAUCUUCAAGCAAAAACCUACAAAUUCCCUCUGUAGAUUUUGUCCUCAAUACUCUUCAUUCUACUUGAUUUGAUAAAUCUUCACGAGCUAAAACCAAAUAUCUCAUCUGCCAUAACCCAACCGGCAUAAUAACCAAAUCAACAACCUAUUUAAAAUGAAUAGCCAGAGGAUACGUAGGAUGAAGACCAUCUCGAUGUCGGAUAUUAGAAUACGAUUGACAGAUUUUACAUGACUCUACAAAUGAGAGUACAUCUCGAUACAUAUUUUUCCACCAAUAUCGUUCCUUGAGUUUAACAAAAGUAGCCGAGAUUCUUCUCUGCCCUGCCCAUAAACUAUCAUGAAACUCCUUUAAUAAUUUUAGUCUUUCUUCCUUUUUGCCUAUCACUCGUUAUGGCAUCCCAAUUCCUUUCUCCGGUCUCUUCCAUAAGAAUCCAUCUCGAAGUAAAAAUCCAUAUGCUUUUUUUCUUAUUUGUUUAAAUUUUUCUGUAGACCAAUUCCCUUGCUUAGUCAAGGUUUUCAAGUAAUGACCAAUAUCCAAUAAUUCUCCUUCGUAAGAUUCUUCAAGAAAUAGCUUGUCUUCUCUGUUGAGAUUUGAUAUUGAAUAGAAUUUCAAUCCGACCUCAUCAAUUUCUUCAAUCAUUUCGUCCUCCCUCUCGUAUCUUGCUCGAGAUAGCAUGUCUGCUACUAAAUUGUCCUUCCCAAUAACAUGCUUAAAUUCUGGAUUUAGUGACUUAAUAUAAGCAAUCCAUAUCAACAUUGCAAUAUCUGGCGUUGAACAGUUAGUAAUCUUUCCAAGCAAUGGCAAGCAGUCUGUUUCAAUUACUACUGCUGCCCCAAUCAAAUUGUCCUUUUCAACUUUCAUAGCCGAAACGACUCUCAAAAGUUCUCUUUUGACUUGCGAAUAUGCACGCUGACGAAUACUUAAAACUUUAGCCCUAAAUCAAACUGCAAAUCUAUUCCCAAUGGAAUCAUCUUGACCCACAGCCCAUCCAAUGGCAAUUAGACUAGCGUCUACAGUAAGAAUCACUGGUCUAUUGUACUUAUAAUCAACCUUCCUCAAUAUAGGAGGUGACAUCAAUAAUUUCUUCAAUCUUUGUAUUACCUGAAUAUGCCUUUCUUCCCAUUUAAAUCGGUAACCCUUGCGUAACAGUUCAUAUAAUGGAUCCGCUAUGUGAGCAAAAUGAAGGAUCCAGAUUCGAUAAAAUACACAUGCAUCCAAAAACCUGCGAACCUCUGUUAAAGAAUCACAAUCCUCUUUCAUCCUUCCAAUUGCAUCAACUUUAAUCGAAUCUGGUUUCUUUCCGUAAAACCCACAUAAAUGUCCAACAAUCACAACCUCUCGCACUCCAAAUACGGACUUCAUACCCGAUAAUGUAAGAUGAACUUCUCCAAGCCGAGUUAAAAUCUUUUCACAAUCUUGUAUA
This 16708-nucleotide long non-coding RNA is filed under the name Physcomitrium patens. RNAcentral describes it as "long non-coding RNA (PPAT_LNC005796)". Lineage: Eukaryota; Viridiplantae; Streptophyta; Bryopsida; Funariales; Funariaceae. The record is from RNAcentral.